Molecule: transfer RNA, 123 nt
Filed under: Apiotrichum porosum
Lineage: Eukaryota; Fungi; Basidiomycota; Tremellomycetes; Trichosporonales; Trichosporonaceae
Description: tRNA-Pro
Rfam family: tRNA
About the family: Transfer RNA (tRNA) molecules are approximately 80 nucleotides in length.
Source: RNAcentral
GCUCUCGUGGUGUAGUGGCUAUCAUACUUUCUUAGGGUCCAGCGCUGGUCUCUAAUCCUCCUCGGAUUCGUCUCCGUCCUCUAGCUAUGGAAGUGGUCCUGGGUUCAAAUCCCGGCGAGGGCC